Molecule: unclassified non-coding RNA, 246 nt
Filed under: plant metagenome
Description: partial contains small subunit ribosomal RNA, internal transcribed spacer 1, and 5.8S ribosomal RNA
Rfam family: Eukaryotic small subunit ribosomal RNA (bases 1-54)
Source: RNAcentral
GGCAGUAAAAGUCGUAACAAGGUCUCCGUUGGUGAACCAGCGGAGGGAUCAUUACAGGACUCGCAAGACUCCUUCACCCUGUGAACCUCACUACAAGCACGUUGCUUCGGCGGGUGUCCCGGCGGGGGUUUUCCCCCGCCGGGGCGCACAGCCCGCCGGCAGCCUACUAUACUCUGUCUCUUUGCGUUGGCAUCUCGGGAAAAGACAAACAAGUUAAAACUUUCAACAACGGAUCUCUUGGUUCUG